Molecule: microRNA precursor, 100 nt
Filed under: Bombyx mori (domestic silkworm)
Lineage: Eukaryota; Metazoa; Arthropoda; Insecta; Lepidoptera; Bombycidae
Description: mir-2807 microRNA precursor family
Rfam family: mir-2807 microRNA precursor family
Source: Rfam by way of RNAcentral
UUAACUCAAUUUUGUAUGGAGUUGGUACGUUUGCCUACGUUGGCCUAUGUUUGCCUAGGUUUGCAGGAGCGCUGUUCCCACUGCAUACAAAUUUGAGUUA